RNAcentral lists this ribosomal RNA (376 nucleotides) under uncultured bacterium. Its description in RNAcentral is "bacterial SSU rRNA". It matches the Rfam family "Bacterial small subunit ribosomal RNA", at positions 524 to 898 of the family's 1533-position model. The record is from RNAcentral.
GACGUACCACCCGAACGUUAUUCGGAUUCACUGGGCUUACAGAGUCCGUAGGCGGUCGAGAAAGUUGGAUGUGAAAUACCUCAGCUCAACUGAGGAAUUGCGUUCAAAACUACUUGGCUAGAGAGAUACAGAGGUGAGCGGAACUGAUGGUGGAGCGGUGAAAUGCGUUGAUAUCAUCAGGAACACCGGUGGCGAAAGCGGCUCACUGGGUAUCUUCUGACGCUGAGGGACGAAAGCUAGGGGAGCGAACGGGAUUAGAUACCCCGGUAGUCCUAGCCUUAAACGAUGAGCACUAGAUCGAAGGGACCUCCACAUCCUUUUGGUCGUAGGGAAACUGUUAAGUGCUCCGCCUGGGGAGUAUGGUCGCAAGGCUGAA